UGGGGAUGAACGUCAAGUCAGUAUGGCCCUUUAUGUCCAGGGCUACACACACGGCUACAAUGGCCGGUACAGAGGGUAGCCAAGCCGCGAGGCGGAGCCAAGUCCCAGAAAGCCCGGUCUCAGUUCAGAUUGCAGGCUGCAACCCGCCUGCAUGAAGAUGGAGUUGCUAGUAACCGCAGGUCAGCUAUACUGCGGUGAAUACGUUCCCGGGGCUU
Molecule: ribosomal RNA, 215 nt
Filed under: uncultured Caldilineaceae bacterium
Lineage: Bacteria; Bacillati; Chloroflexota; Caldilineae; Caldilineales; Caldilineaceae
Description: partial 16S ribosomal RNA
Rfam family: Bacterial small subunit ribosomal RNA
Source: RNAcentral